GACGAACGCUGGCGGCGUGCUUAACACAUGCAAGUCGAACGGAAAGGCCCUGCUUUUGUGGGGUGCUCGAGUGGCGAACGGGUGAGUAACACGUGAGUAACCUGCCCUUGACUUUGGGAUAACUUCAGGAAACUGGGGCUAAUACCGGAUAGGAGCUCCUGCUGCAUGGUGGGGGUUGGAAAGUUUCGGCGGUUGGGGUUGGACUCGCGGCUUAUCAGCUUGUUGGUGGGGUAGUGGCUUACCAAGGUUUUGACGGGUAGCCGGCCUGAGAGGGUGACCGGCCACAUUGGGACUGAGAUACGGCCCAGACUCCUACGGGAGGCAGCAGUGGGGAAUAUUGCACAAUGGGCGGAAGCCUGAUGCAGCAACGCCGCGUGCGGGAUGACGGCCUUCGGGUUGUAAACCGCUUUCGCCUGUGACGAAGCGUGAGUGACGGUAAUGGGUAAAGAAGCACCGGCUAACUACGUG
Molecule: ribosomal RNA, 468 nt
Filed under: uncultured bacterium
Lineage: Bacteria
Description: partial 16S ribosomal RNA
Rfam family: Bacterial small subunit ribosomal RNA
Source: RNAcentral